This is a long non-coding RNA of Silurus meridionalis, 469 nucleotides long. RefSeq lists it as uncharacterized. Lineage: Eukaryota; Metazoa; Chordata; Actinopteri; Siluriformes; Siluridae. The transcript has 3 exons. The record is from RefSeq and is a predicted model, not a curated record.
GCCUGUGAACUGAGAUUAAAGGUUGUCUGUGGUGCAGAGGAUGCAAAUAAAUGCUUUAUAGAGUUUCACGCUAGCAGCAUUGGUGCACAUUGUGGACAAAAAAAACCCAAAUAUGCCAUAUCCAAAAGGUUUUACUGGCCAGGGAUGUCCGAGGAUCUUGACAAAUGGGUGGCUGAAUGUGUGGCAUGUCAGGCCACUAAAGCAUCCAUUAAAGAAGAGGUCAAAAUUACACCUAUACAGGUCACACAACCCUUCGAACUUUUGGGGAUGGAUCUGAUCGGGAAACUCGUUUGCACAGACAGUAGCAAUCAAUAAUAUAUGCGUAAUAAUUGAUUACUUGACCAAAUGGCCACAGGCUUAUCCACUCAGAAGUAAGUCUGCAGAGGAGGUCACAAACUGUAUUAUCAAGUUUUUCAAUCAGUUUGAGGCACCAAAAUGCAUACUCACAGACCAAGGGAGGGAGUUUGUU